RNAcentral lists this ribosomal RNA (216 nucleotides) under Glomeromycotina sp. RNAcentral describes it as "partial small subunit ribosomal RNA". The stretch from base 44 to 216 matches the Rfam family "Eukaryotic small subunit ribosomal RNA", at positions 690 to 864 of the family's 1831-position model. Lineage: Eukaryota; Fungi; Glomeromycota. The record is from RNAcentral.
GGGUCAGUAGGUUGGUCGUGCCACCGGUACGUACUGGUCUCACUGAUUCCUCCUUCCUGAAGAACCGUAAUGCCAUUAAUUUGGCGUUGCGGGGAAACAGGACUGUUACUUUGAAAAAAUUAGAGUGUUUAAAGCAAGCUAACGCUUGAACACAUUAGCAUGGAAUAAUGAAAUAGGACGAUCGAUCCUAUUUUGUUGGUUUCUAGGAUUGACGUA